GACGAACGCUGGCGGCGUGCCUAAUACAUGCAAGUCGAGCGGACAGAUGGGAGCUUGCUCCCUGAUGUUAGCGGCGGACGGGUGAGUAACACGUGGGUAACCUGCCUGUAAGACUGGGAUAACUCCGGGAAACCGGGGCUAAUACCGGAUGCUUGUUUGAACCGCAUGGUUCAAACAUAAAAGGUGGCUUCGGCUACCACUUACAGAUGGACCCGCGGCGCAUUAGCUAGUUGGUGAGGUAAUGGCUCACCAAGGCAACGAUGCGUAGCCGACCUGAGAGGGUGAUCGGCCACACUGGGACUGAGACACGGCCCAGACUCCUACGGGAGGCAGCAGUAGGGAAUCUUCCGCAAUGGACGAAAGUCUGACGGAGCAACGCCGCGUGAGUGAUGAAGGUUUUCGGAUCGUAAAGCUCUGUUGUUAGGGAAGAACAAGUGCCGUUCAAAUAGGGCGGCACCUUGACGGUACCUAACCAGAAAGCCACGGCUAACUACG
Molecule: ribosomal RNA, 495 nt
Filed under: Bacillus atrophaeus
Lineage: Bacteria; Bacillati; Bacillota; Bacilli; Caryophanales; Bacillaceae
Description: bacterial SSU rRNA
Rfam family: Bacterial small subunit ribosomal RNA
Source: RNAcentral